UGAGCCGGAAUGGCGACCAGCCUGCCAAGCUGGGAACCGAAGAGCGCUGCAGCCGAUCCUCUACUCCCUCCCCGCCGAUAGGAAAAAGGAACUCAUCCUCUGGGCCGCCGAUGUGGCUGGAGACGCGUAGCCAACAAUUCCAGGCGAACACAGGCCACAUGUGACACGGUCGAUAAGACCAGCCCUCUUCUACUCGGCCCUGAACUGUUCCAAUCAAGCAGGAAUUCUCCUCAUCACUGAGAAGGUGCUGGAAGCUACGGG
Molecule: long non-coding RNA, 261 nt
Organism: Conger conger (European conger)
Lineage: Eukaryota; Metazoa; Chordata; Actinopteri; Anguilliformes; Congridae
Exons: 3
Source: RefSeq, a predicted model, not a curated record